RNAcentral lists this ribosomal RNA (253 nucleotides) under uncultured bacterium. Its description in RNAcentral is "partial 16S ribosomal RNA". It matches the Rfam family "Bacterial small subunit ribosomal RNA", at positions 524 to 776 of the family's 1533-position model. The record is from RNAcentral.
UACGUAGGCAGCGAGCGUUGUUCGGAGUUACUGGGCGUAAAGAGUGCGUAGGCGGUGCUCUAAGUUUGGUGUGAAAUCUCCCGGCUCAACUGGGAGGGUGCGCCGAAAACUGGAGUGCUCGAGUAUGGGAGAGGUAAGCGGAAUUCCUGGUGUAGCGGUGAAAUGCGUAGAUAUCAGGAGGAACACCUGCGGUGUAGACGGCUUACUGGACCAUGACUGACGCUGAGGCACGAAGGCCAGGGGAGCAAACGGG